UGGGGAAUUUUGGACAAUGGGCGAAAGCCUGAUCCAGCCAUGCCGCGUGCAGGAUGAAGGCCUUCGGGUUGUAAACUGCUUUUGUACGGAACGAAAAGCCUCUUUCUAAUAAAGAGGGGUCAUGACGGUACCGUAAGAAUAAGCACCGGCUAACUACGUGCCAGCAGCCGCGGUAAUACGUAGGGUGCAAGCGUUAAUCGGAAUUACUGGGCGUAAAGCGUGCGCAGGCGGUUUUGUAAGACAGAGGUGAAAUCCCCGGGCUCAACCUGGGAACUGCCUUUGUGACUGCAAGGCUGGAGUGCGGCAGAGGGGGAUGGAAUUCCGCGUGUAGCAGUGAAAUGCGUAGAUAUGCGGAGGAACACCGAUGGCGAAGGCAAUCCCCUGGGCCUGCAACCUGGACGUUCAUGCACGAAAGCGUGGGGAGCAAACAGGAUUAGGAUACCCUGGUAGUCCACGCCCUAAACGAUGUCAACUGGUUGUUGGGUCUUCACUGACUCAGUAACGAAGCUAACGCGUGAAGUUGACCGCCUGGGG
Molecule: ribosomal RNA, 534 nt
Filed under: uncultured bacterium
Lineage: Bacteria
Description: partial 16S ribosomal RNA
Rfam family: Bacterial small subunit ribosomal RNA
Source: RNAcentral